This 21-nucleotide non-coding RNA is filed under the name Arabidopsis thaliana (thale cress). Lineage: Eukaryota; Viridiplantae; Streptophyta; Magnoliopsida; Brassicales; Brassicaceae. The record is from RNAcentral.
UCCGCCAUCUUUUCUUAUGCC